RNAcentral lists this ribosomal RNA (308 nucleotides) under uncultured bacterium. RNAcentral's name for it is "bacterial SSU rRNA". It matches the Rfam family "Bacterial small subunit ribosomal RNA", at positions 28 to 334 of the family's 1533-position model. The record is from RNAcentral.
GAUGAACGCUAGGCGGGAGGCUUAACACAUGCAAGUCGAGGGGCAGCAUUUACUUCGGUAAGAUGGCGACCGGCGCACGGGUGCGUAACGCGUAUGCAACCUGCCUUAUACAAAGGGAUAGCCCAUGGAAACGUGGAUUAAUACCUUAUGGUACUGUAAAACUGCAUAGUUUAACAGUUAAAACUUCGGUGGUAUAAGAUGGGCAUGCGUAGGAUUAGCUAGAUGGUGAGGUAACGGCUCACCAUGGCGACGAUCCUUAGGGGUUCUGAGAGGAUUAUCCCCCACACUGGUACUGAGACACGGACCAG